UCCACACCAAAGGACCAAGACCAUCACCCUCUACAAUCAAAUAACCCCAUGAUGGGCAGCCAUUCCUAGGAACCUGGAGCCAGACAAGUGGAGCUACCAAACAGAGUUCCGGGAUGUGGCCAAGUAGGCCAUGAAGAAUCCUAGACUGGCAGAGGCGUAUCUGACAAACCCAAUAUGGCUGAGAUGGAGAAAGUUGAAAUUGAAGACAGAAAUGCAAGAGAAAAAUCAGCUGCCUCCAAAAGAAACAAAGGGAUGGAAGAAGGAAGCAGACAAGUGGAAAUGAGGCCAGUAGGCCCUGUCCAUUCUGCAAGCAUUGCUUUCUUAUUUUCCUUCUUUUCGCUGUUUGACUUUGUAAGAUGCCAAGGGUAGAUCAAGUUUAAACAUCCAUGUUCCCUUUUCACAUCAAAGAACGGUGAACUACUGACAACCAAGGCUAUGCCUGCCUCUCCCAUCUGCCUGCCUGGCUGGCAGAGAAAGAAAAUAACUCACACGCUGGUGAAGGAAGAAGCUGAGUAAGAUGACAAUGAAAUUAGGGGGGAAAUCCAAGCUGGUCCCCAGUGCCUUGUAGGGUGUAAAAUGUGGAUUAAUCAGAAUGCCAUUUAAAAAAUUCAAAUGAUCUUGAUUAUUGGAGUACACACAUUUUAAAUGCAUAAAUAAAAUGUUUUUAAAAUCUGGAAAACAAACAUGCUGAAGGCCGUACAGUGAUCUCUGAGUAGAGGACACUACACUUGCCUUCAAAGCUGUUCCCUGCUGAUUUCCUUCUGCCAAAGGAAGUUUGAAUUUGUUUGGUUUUUGAUAAAGUCACAC
This 807-nucleotide long non-coding RNA is filed under the name Heterocephalus glaber (naked mole-rat). RNAcentral's name for it is "lncRNA (ENSHGLG00100052329.1)". The record is from RNAcentral. Lineage: Eukaryota; Metazoa; Chordata; Mammalia; Rodentia; Bathyergidae.